RNAcentral lists this ribosomal RNA (253 nucleotides) under uncultured bacterium. RNAcentral's name for it is "partial 16S ribosomal RNA". It matches the Rfam family "Bacterial small subunit ribosomal RNA", at positions 524 to 776 of the family's 1533-position model. The record is from RNAcentral.
UACGAGGGGGGCAAAUGUUGUUCGGAAUCACUGGGCGUAAAGGGAGCGUAGGCGGGUUCUUAAGUUGGAUGUUUAACCCCGGGGCCCAACCCCGGAUCGGCAUCCCAAACUGGGAAUCUUGAAUAGAGGAGAGGUCAGUGGAAUUGGAGGUGUAGCGGUGGAAUGCGUAGAGAUCUCCAAGAACACCAGUUGCGAAGGCGGCUGACUGGACUCAUAUUGACGCUGAGGCUCGAAAGCAUGGGGAGCAAACAGG